AUCUUAGUGCCCCUUUCACAAUAGCAACAAGACACAACAGGAAGCAAACGUCUAGAGCCGGUCCAUCCGCGCCAGGCUCAGCGUUUCUCACGGCAUCGCUCUGACAAAAAGGUUGAUGGAAAGGAAAGAAAGAGCAACUCUAAAGGAGAGAGAAGAUAGUUCAGCCUUUCCUUGCCUGUUAAUUCCUUCCCGAAUGGAGGCUCCUCUGUCCAUGGGAUUCUCCAAGCAAGAACACUGGAGUGGGUUGCCAUUCCCUCCUCCAGGGGAUUUUCCUGACCCAGAGAUGGAACCCGCAUAUCCUGUGACUCCUGCAGGCAGAUUCUUUAUCACUGAGCCACCCAGAAGCCCAUGACUACAUCAGAGGGCCCUGCAAGUUUAUAACAUGGAGAACUACAUUCCAUUGAAUGAAAACCAGAGAGCAGAACCAGACACAGAGCACAAUUAAAGGCCUUCCGAAGAACAAACGCUACAGAUGCAUAUCUACCCAUAUCACUCUAUGUACAGAAAGAAAACCAAGAAGAAUAAAGUGCUGGGGGAGUAGUGAGGAGGAGAGACUUUCGCAUUUGGCCCUCUUUUUGUAUUCUUCGUAUCUUUAAUUAAAUUAAUGUGUUACUUCUGUCAUUAAGAAAAAAUAAAACAUGAAAAGGAAAGAAAGUGAUCAGCGUGGCACUGUGUGCGCCAAGCAGUGUGGGAAAGAUGCCAAAUCACGUGGGGAAGGGAAGGGCUGGACUAGUUUGCGAUGGAGACUCUGCAGCUCCAGGGAGGUGAACACUUUGCUUUCUGUCGUGGUCAUCAGAAUAAGGUUAGCGAUUAGUGGCCACGUGAUCUUGUGCAAGGUCACCUCCAGGUGUGCUAUCCUGAGGUCGCAGCACUUCCUUAUUUAUAGCAUCACAGUGUUGUUUGUGUUGCUAUCACUGCACACCUGGGUCGAAACGCCUUACCUGUGGAGCUGGGAACUCAUGCCAAACAGCCAAGGAUCCAGGCGGUCCUGCCCCCCAUCACCCAGGGUUCUCUGACUGUAACUCGCUUGCACUGUGGCAAUCUUCAAGCCAAAUACUUGGAGGGCCUUUAUUCUUUGGUUUCUUCAACUGACACUUAGUGCAAAGCUAAAUAUUAGGUGGGUACAAAAGUAAUCGCAGUUUUUGUGUUGUUGAAAUUAGUCUUUGAUAUUGGAAUACAUUCUUAAAUAAAUGUGGUUAUGUUAUACAUCAUUUUCAUGCACAUUUCUUGCUUUGAAUAUUUUGCUAAUGUUUAAUUACUUGCUGUUUAUAUU
This is an RNA transcript of Bubalus bubalis (water buffalo), 1273 nucleotides long. It is a transcript of the gene named histone-lysine N-methyltransferase SETMAR-like, with no coding region annotated. The record is from RefSeq and is a predicted model, not a curated record. The transcript is spliced from 3 exons. Lineage: Eukaryota; Metazoa; Chordata; Mammalia; Artiodactyla; Bovidae.